This is a long non-coding RNA of Drosophila sulfurigaster albostrigata, 1418 nucleotides long. RefSeq lists it as uncharacterized. Lineage: Eukaryota; Metazoa; Arthropoda; Insecta; Diptera; Drosophilidae. The transcript has 5 exons. The record is from RefSeq and is a predicted model, not a curated record.
AACGCAACUAGUAUGCGCUCGAACACGGCAUUGCGCACAUCGUGGGGCAAGAGUGGGCGCGUGCAAAAAAAUUUCACGACGGUGGAAAGUCUUAUUUUCUGAGUGCGACCACAGUCGACUCCCGCUACAACAAACCGGUGUCUCGCCUCCCUUCUCUUCAGCUUUCUAUAACGAAUCUACUUUUAGGCUGACGCCAGGAAUCGUGGCACAUUUCCAACUGGGCAUGCUGUGUGCUGUGUGUAUGAGCGAUGUCGUCGACUUCCAUGUCACAGCUCAAAAGGGAUACAGUUGUGUGCCGUGCAUAGCUGGAAGCGUUGCUGCAUUAAGGCGCCCAGGGAGAGGAUGGAUGGGAUGGAGGAAGAGGAGGCAACUGUCCGACAGUGUGACACUGUGACAGUCUGGCCGCAGAAUAACGUCUACUCUCUGCACUCUAUGUACAUUGAGGGAAUGCGAACACACAGAGAGAGCUGUGAGCUUGUUAAUACACGUACCGUUAAAACGCAGCAUUUCCCUACAACUCUCUCUUCGCUCCUUGAAUCGGGAGUCAACAACAUGUAUGUAAAUAUGUACUGUUGUAAGUAUAUACGAUAUGUGCGUACUUAUUCCGGUUGAUAAACAAGUUUACGGGUCUGGCGCAGCUUAAGGCAUGUCCAGCAAUAAGGAUUCGCCUAGACAAAUGCCUGCGAUGAGACAACUCGAUUCUGAUACGGAGUUAUUUAAAAAUAUAGCUGAAUGAUGUAAUGACAAAAGGAGGAACCUCACACUUUGCCUUAAUCAUCUGAUGCCGCCUCUUGACUGGCCAACGCACCCAACAAUAAAGAAAUAAUCAUUUGUUAUCAAAUAAAAAUACUUAAGUACGCAAUGAAAUGCUAAUGAAUGCUUCGCAUUUUGCAUCAAUUAUUUGUAAACGUUAAUGAAAUUGAACAAAAGCAGAGUAUAAAUAAUUUACUUUAAAAAACGAUUUGGAAUUUUAAGAGAACAAGUUUUGUAAUAAAUACUUUAUAAGUAAUAUUUUCAUUGAAAUUAUUUUAUAACUUUGUGAAUAAAAACAAAAUGUACCUGUCUAUAAUAUAUUAUUAUGUGAUAAUAAGUAUAUUAAAAUAAUAUAUAAAACAAAACGAACAGACCGAAGUGUUCAAAUGUUAGAUUUGCUUACACACUUAAAAAAAGAAAGAUAUAAUUCAUAAAGCUAAAUUUUAAAUUAAUAUUAGUGCAGACAUGCGAAUUGUAAAUUAAGAGAAUUAAAAGAAUAGCAUAUAGAAAAGUAUUAACUGUGGAUAAUUGUUUAAUUACUUAAUGUACCUACCACAUUCUUAAAAUGAACUAGUACCUACUCGAAAAUUAUGCUGAAAAUUUCGAGUUUUAAUAUUAUUACAUGUUUUACAAGUUUAUCAAAAACAUUCUUUGAUAAAGAUAAU